UAGAGAAAUAAGUAGCUCUUUGGAGGAAUGAUUGGGGGAAUUUUAUAUGCUGUCUUCAAGAAGAGGGAGAAUUCGGCCAUGUUAUCCUCAUCUCAGUAUUUUAAAAAGAGAGAGAAUGGAUUCUCCAGGGUGCAGAAAUGAUGGCAGAAGAUUGGAUUUGAUCAGCCAUCUUUAUCUGAACCUCAAGACCAUCAAUGUUCUUCAUAGCCAUCAUGGAAGUUUGCCAGUCCUAAACAUCAAAACAAUGCUGUCCUUGAGGCUGAGGUAGUAGAUUGAAUAGUUGUGGAGCCAUCUUCUCCCUUUGAGCUAACUAUACAAUCUACU
Non-coding RNA from Notechis scutatus (mainland tiger snake), 324 nucleotides. NCBI's taxonomy places the organism in Eukaryota, Metazoa, Chordata, Lepidosauria, Squamata, Elapidae. The record is from RefSeq and is a predicted model, not a curated record.